GUGUCAGCAGCCGCGGUAAUACGGAGGGUGCGAACGUUAAUCGGAAUCACUGGGCGUAAAGCGCGCGUAGGCGGUUUGUUAAGUGGGAUGUGAAAGCCCCGGGCUUAACCUGGGAAUUGCAUUUCAAACUGGCGAACUAGAGUGCGGUAGAGGGAGGUAGAAUUUCCUGUGUAGCGGUGAAAUGCGUAGAUAUAGGAAGGAAUACCAGUGGCGAAGGCGGCCUCCUGGAUCGACACUGACGCUAAGGCGCGAAAGCGUGGGGAGCAAACAGGAUUAGAUACCCCGGUAGUCC
This 292-nucleotide ribosomal RNA is filed under the name uncultured bacterium. Its description in RNAcentral is "partial 16S ribosomal RNA". It matches the Rfam family "Bacterial small subunit ribosomal RNA", at positions 505 to 796 of the family's 1533-position model. The record is from RNAcentral.